AUAUUGCGCAAUGGGCGAAAGCCUGACGCAGCGACGCCGCGUGAGGGACGACGGCCUUCGGGUUGUAAACCUCUUUCAGCUCUGACGAAGCGAAAGUGACGGUAGGAGCAGAAGAAGCACCGGCCAACUACGUGCCAGCAGCCGCGGUAAUACGUAGGGUGCAAGCGUUGUCCGGAAUUAUUGGGCGUAAAGAGCUCGUAGGCGGUUUGUCGCGUCGAAGGUGAAAACCCGGGACGCAACUCCGGGCCUGCAUUCGAUACGGGCAGACUAGAGUUCGGUAGGGGAGACUGGAAUUCCUGGUGUAGCGGUGAAAUGCGCAGAUAUCAGGAGGAACACCGGUGGCGAAGGCGGGUCUCUGGGCCGAUACUGACGCUGAGGAGCGAAAGCGUGGGGAGCAAACAGGA
This 404-nucleotide ribosomal RNA is filed under the name uncultured bacterium. RNAcentral describes it as "bacterial SSU rRNA". It matches the Rfam family "Bacterial small subunit ribosomal RNA", at positions 361 to 777 of the family's 1533-position model. The record is from RNAcentral.